AGAGUUUGAUCCUGGCUCAGAACGAACGCUGGCGGCGUGCUUAACACAUGCAAGUCGAGUGCGCGGUUGUAGCAAUACAACUGGCGCACGGCGCACGGGUGCGUAACACGUGGGCAAUCUGCCCUUCGAUGGGGAAUAACUCCGGGAAACCGAAGCUAAUUCCGCAUAACAUUCCUUGGACUUCGGUUCGAGGACUCAAAGCCGUAAGGCGUCGAAGGAGGAGCCCGCGCACGAUUAGCUAGUUGGUAGGGUAACGGCCUACCAAGGCUUUGAUCGUUAGCUGGUCUGAGAGGAUGGCCAGCCACACUGGAACUGAGACACGGUCCAGACUCCUACGGGAGGCAGCAGUGGGGAAUCUUGCGCAAUGGGCGAAAGCCUGACGCAGCGACGCCGCGUGGGGGAUGAAGCUUCUCGGAGUGUAAACCCCUUUCGACCCGGACGAAUGUCCCGCAAGGGAUUGACGGUACGGGUAUAAGAAGCCCCGGCUAACUACGUGCCAGCAGCCGCGGUAAGACGUAGGGGGCCAGCGUUGCUCGGAAUUACUGGGCGUAAAGGGUUCGUAGGCGGUGCGGCAAGUCGGAAGUGAAAUCUCUGGGCUUAACUCAGAGGCUGCUCCCGAAACUGCCGUGCUUGAGUGCGGGAGAGGCGAGUGGAAUUACAGGUGUAGCGGUGAAAUGCGUAGAUAUCUGUAGGAACACCCGUGGCGAAGGCGGCUCGCUGGACCGCAACUGACGCUGAGGAACGAAAGCUAGGGGAGCAAACAGGAUUAGAUACCCUGGUAGUCCUAGCCCUAAACAAUCAGGACUUGGGGUGCAUCCCGUUGGGGGUGCGUCCCGUAGCUAACGCGUUAAGUCCUGCGCCUGGGGAGCACGGUCGCA
Molecule: ribosomal RNA, 878 nt
Filed under: uncultured bacterium
Lineage: Bacteria
Description: bacterial SSU rRNA
Rfam family: Bacterial small subunit ribosomal RNA
Source: RNAcentral